UUUAACAACGGAUCUCUUGGUUCUCGCAUCGAUGAAGAACGUAGCAAAGUGCGAUAACUAGUGUGAAUUGCAUAUUCAGUGAAUCAUCGAGUCUUUGAACGCAUCUUGCGCUCAAUGGUAUUCCAUUGAGCACGCCUGUUUCAGUAUCAACAAC
Molecule: ribosomal RNA, 154 nt
Filed under: Mucor irregularis
Lineage: Eukaryota; Fungi; Mucoromycota; Mucoromycetes; Mucorales; Mucoraceae
Description: 5.8S ribosomal RNA
Rfam family: 5.8S ribosomal RNA
About the family: 5.8S ribosomal RNA (5.8S rRNA) is a component of the large subunit of the eukaryotic ribosome. It is transcribed by RNA polymerase I as part of the 45S precursor that also contains 18S and 28S rRNA. Functionally, it is thought that 5.8S rRNA may be involved in ribosome translocation.
Source: RNAcentral